GAUGAACGCUGGCGGCGUGCUUAACACAUGCAAGUCGAACGGGCAACCUUUUAUUGACUCUUCGGCAGUUUUGGCUGGCUUGUAAGGGCGGCCGGGGGAGUAGCGCAUGGGUACCCUGCCUUAUACAGGGGGAUAACCACAUGACAUAGUUGCUAAUCCCGCAUAAGCGCACUGGACCGCAUGUUCCGGUGUGAAAAACUCCGGCGGUAUAGGAUGGACCCGCGUUGGAUUAGCUAGUUGGCAGGGUAACGGCCUACCAAGGCGACGAUCCAUAGCCGGCCUGAGAGGGUGAACGGCCACACUGGGACUGAGACACGGCCCAGACUCCUACGGGAGGCAGCAGUGGGGAAUAUUGCACAAUGGGGGAAAGCCUGAUGCAGCGACGCCGCGUGAAGGAAGAAGUAUCUCGGUAUGUAAACUUCUAUCAGCAGGGAAGAUAGUGACGGUACCUGACGAAGAAGCCCCGGCUAACUACGUG
RNAcentral lists this ribosomal RNA (478 nucleotides) under uncultured bacterium. RNAcentral's name for it is "partial 16S ribosomal RNA". It matches the Rfam family "Bacterial small subunit ribosomal RNA", at positions 28 to 507 of the family's 1533-position model. The record is from RNAcentral.